RNAcentral lists this ribosomal RNA (289 nucleotides) under Mastigodryas boddaerti. RNAcentral describes it as "partial 12S ribosomal RNA". The record is from RNAcentral. Lineage: Eukaryota; Metazoa; Chordata; Lepidosauria; Squamata; Colubridae.
AAAGACUUGACGGUACCUUAAAACAACCUAGAGGAGCCUGUCAAAUAACCGAUACUCCACGAUUAACCUUACCCCCUCUAGCCCAACAGUCUAUAUACCGCCGUCGCCAGCCUACCUUGUAAAAGAAACAAAGUAAGCUAAAUAGCCACACACUAACACGACAGGUCAAGGUGUAACCCAUGAGGGGGUUCAAGAUGGGCUACAUUUUCUAACCGCAGAAAACACGGAUAAAACAUGAAAUAAAAAACUGAAGGCGGAUUUAGCAGUACAUUAAGAACAAAUAUACCUA